GUCUUUUAGAUGAUAAUUUAAAGUCUGGCCUGCCCACUGAAAUAAAUUUAAAGGGCCGCGGUAUUUUGACUGUGCAAAGGUAGCAUAAUCAUUAGUCUUUUAAUUGAAGGCUUGUAUGAAUGGUUGGAUGAAAUAUUAACUGUCUCGGAUUAAUAAAAUAGAAUUUAAUUUUUAAGUUAAAAAGCUUAAAUUAGGUUAGAGGACGAGAAGACCCUAUAGAUUUUUAUAGUUUAUUAGUUAUAAAUAAUUUAGUUGAUAGAAGUUUUUAAUUUAUAAAUUAUUUUAUUGGGGUGAUAAAUAAAUUUAAUAAACUUUAUUGAAUAUAAACAUUGAUAUAUGAAUUAUUGAUCCAUUUUUAGUGAUUAUAAGAUUAAAUUACCUUAGGGAUAACAGCGUAAUUUUUUUAGAGAGUUCAUAUCGAUAAGAAAGUUUGCGACCUCGAUGUUGAAUUAAAGAUUAGUUUAGGUGUAGAAGUUUAAAUUUUUGGUCUGUUCGACCAUUGAAUC
Molecule: ribosomal RNA, 506 nt
Filed under: Corydalus ignotus
Lineage: Eukaryota; Metazoa; Arthropoda; Insecta; Megaloptera; Corydalidae
Description: partial 16S ribosomal RNA
Rfam family: Bacterial large subunit ribosomal RNA
Source: RNAcentral